Fundulus heteroclitus (mummichog) is the source of this 469-nucleotide long non-coding RNA. RefSeq lists it as uncharacterized. The transcript has 3 exons. Lineage: Eukaryota; Metazoa; Chordata; Actinopteri; Cyprinodontiformes; Fundulidae. The record is from RefSeq and is a predicted model, not a curated record.
GACAUCCAAGACGAGGAGAGGAAGAGGAAGAGGAGGAGAGUCUCUUAGUGAGCAAAAGAAAAAGGGGGAAGGACACAGAGGGAGGAAAACCUCUGUUAUAUGCCUUUCUGGCAGCAUGCAAAUGUUAGGGAAAGGGGAACAAAGGAAUAAAAGUUCAAAGAAUGUAAUGUGUGUAAUGGCAGAGGAUAAAAUAUAUGUUGACAGGGUGAACUGAGUGAGAUCAAGAAGAAUAUGUGGUGAUAAAAAAGCGUAGCAUGCCUGUACCAGCUGCAACUACAGUCAGAAGGGAAUCUGCCCCUCACUAUCAAGCUCAACAGUGCUUCGGUGCAUGGACAUCAUCAACAAGGAAGAAAAGAUAACGUAUCACAAGAUCGUUUUAAGAGUAAGUUGAUGGUUGAUAUCGGGACAUAGGCUCCAGCAACUCCCGCGACGCCAUGAGGGAUUAAGCGGGUCAGAAAAGGAAUGGAUG